Molecule: ribosomal RNA, 497 nt
Filed under: uncultured bacterium
Lineage: Bacteria
Description: partial 16S ribosomal RNA
Rfam family: Bacterial small subunit ribosomal RNA
Source: RNAcentral
GCUGACCGCUGGCGGCGUGUCUAAUACAGUCAAGUCGCGCGAACGGACUAGAAUCUUUCUUCUCUGAUGUUAGCUGCGGACGGGUGAUUAACACGUGGAUAACCUACCUAUAAGACUGGGAUAACUUCGGGAAACCUGAGCUAAUACCGGAUAAUAUUUUGAACCGCAUUGUUCAAAAGUGAAAGACUGUCUUGCUGUCACUCCUAGAUGGAUCCGCGCUGCAUUAGAUCGUUGGUAAGGUAACAGCUUACCAAGCCAACGAUGCAUAGCCGACCUGAGAGGGUGAUCGGCCACACUGGAACUGAGACACGGUCCAGACUCCUACGGGAGGCAGCAGUAGGGAAUCUUCCGCAAUGGGCGAAAGCCUGACGGAGCAACGCCGCGUGAGUGAUGAAGGUCUUCGGAUCGUAAAACUCUGUUAUUAGGGAAGAACAUAUGUGUAAGUAACUGUGCACACCUUGACGGUACCUAAUCAGAAAGCCACGGCUAACUACGUG